Leptidea sinapis is the source of this 496-nucleotide long non-coding RNA. RefSeq lists it as uncharacterized. Lineage: Eukaryota; Metazoa; Arthropoda; Insecta; Lepidoptera; Pieridae. The record is from RefSeq and is a predicted model, not a curated record. The transcript is spliced from 2 exons.
AUUCAUCAAAUCACAAAAAGGAAAUGCCUUAAUUCGUUACCAGGGUUUUACAUUUUGCAGAAAAAUUAUGAAUACGAAGCUGGAAAAAUCUGUUAAUAAAUAUCGGUGGAGAUGUUCAACCCAUAGUAACAGAGGUUGUACUGCGUUCAUUUAUACAUUAGAUGAUGAAAUUAUAAGAGUCAGUAAUAUACAUAACCAUAUUUUGCAAUACGUGAGAUCACAACGAGGCAGCACUUUGAUACUCUACGAUGGAUAUACAUUUUUCAGAUCAAUCCAACACAGAAAAAUUGAACGUUCUCUGCAAAAAUAUCGAUGGAGAUGUUCCACACAUAGUGGCAAAGGUUGCACCGCGUCCAUUUACACACUGAAAGAUGAAAUUAUUAAAGUGAAAAAUGAUCAUAACCAUGCCUGUAAUUCUAAUUGGUAAGCACAGAAAGGCUAGCCGUAUUUAUAAAUGGUCUUUGAAUUCCUAGAAAUAAAAUCUUUAUGAAUAAUU